Non-coding RNA from Xyrichtys novacula (pearly razorfish), 5175 nucleotides. The record is from the annotation of a GenBank genome assembly. Lineage: Eukaryota; Metazoa; Chordata; Actinopteri; Labriformes; Labridae.
AAGAGUAUUUUGCUGUAUGCUGAUAUUGUUUUUACUAUUCUUUAAAACAAUCCAUUUUGUAAGUCCUCACAGUACUCAACUUUUUCAGUGAAAUGAGCUGAAAACUGGUUUCUGACAGGCAGUCAUGAGAGGCUUCAGUCCUUCAGUGUUACUCCUACCUCACUCUGAAUUCUCAUCAAGUCUGUUUCUCAACAUUUCAAAUAGAUAAAAUAAAGUAAAAGACCAAAGUGACAAAUUUUAACAUGGAGGGAAACAGACAGACAUAAGACAUCAUUAUCAGGAGAGAGAUGCGACAGCUGUGAGGAUGUCAGGGGGUGUUGCAUGUCUGUGGGUGGGUGUGUGUUUGUGUGCAGGGUUACAGUGGGGCUGUGGGCAGCAUUGUGAAAAGGACGAUUGGUGUUAAAUUGGGGUGAAAAGCGGCUUAGGUAGAGAUAGAGGGACUGCAUGAGAGAGAGAGAAAGCAAGGGAGAGAUGGUCACCCUUCACUCCACACAUGGAUUAGAGGCUAUAGAGACACUGACAGGCUCAAAACCUGGCUUACACUGUUAAAACCCUGCAGGCAGACACACACACACACUCACAUACACGUGCAGACCUGCACUUGGUAUGUGUCAGUGUACCAGCUACAAUAACUCAGCAGUGGGACACACUGCCUCUCUGUUUGGCUGUCAACACUCACCAGUUUUGCUCAGAUUUAUCAGCCGGAUUUUAGGGCAUUGACAGUCUGGGCCUACUGUGAGCCUAUUCAGAUGGGCCUCAUUCUUUGCAGCAGAAUUUUACAGGGAACUUUCCCCCUUUUAUUGUUCACUGCAGCUGUGUAUGCAUACAUGCAUACACACACUGUUGUCAUUCUUCUGAAUAAUAAAGCAGUUGGUAACCAAACAAACAGGUGUUUUGAUUUAGGACUCUGCUGCACUGUCGACUGAUCCAGAAACUUACUGACAGGCCCAGCUAAACUUAUUUCUGGUGAGCAUCUUUAAAACUGUAGCACAAAGUCCCUGAAAGUGUGCUGAAAUGACCCUGUGGGUGAGCUAUAUAGGUGAAGAGAACAGGAAGCUCAGGUCAUUAUCCAGGUAAAAGCCUCUGAACACUGCCUGAUGUUUUCCAGGUUCAUGUCUGAAAACAGCUCACAGGACGUUAGUGUUUGCCAGGUCACCAGUCUGAGGAGUGGAUCUGUCUCAAUCAGAAACAUUAACUUCAUUGCACCUCCACUGUGCCAUGCAGUGGUUCCUGAAGCCAAUCUUAUGAUUCAUUUCAGAGUGAGAGGAUUUUGAGUCAUGUCUUACUUUUUCCAAACAAGAAGGGAGGAGGGAGUGAGGUAAGGACACAUGACUUCAGUUUAAUUAACACUGCCAUUGUUUGAAUAAAGGAGAAAAAUCUACGUUGUAUUACAGGAUAAUGUGUCUGUGAUGUUUAUCUCCUUAGCUAACCCCGGGUCCUUUGUAAUGAAAUUGUUAUUGAUGGUGAUUAAUAGGAUGGAUUUCAGAAGCAGCUGGUCAGACAGAUUGUGUGAAUAGCUCAGUAAAGCCCUCUUUGUAUACAUGAACUUCAUCCUAGUUGAGAAAUCCUUUGUCUGGACUUCUUGUUUUCCAUGAUUAUUUAAUAAAAUAAAUGUAUUUUGUUUUCUUAAUGUCAUGACUCAAAUGAACCCUCCUUGUACAGAGUACAGACUUUGUUUCUCUUGCUUCAUUUGGAGCUCUUGUUAAAAAUUCUCAGCCAGGCUCGGUUUCAUGAGACACAGACAAUGGCUAUAUUAUUGAUGAUGGCUUCAUCUUCAUACCACACUCAAAGACCUCCAGCUGAGUGACAUGAUGUUGUAAGACGUCUGCUUGUCGUGCAAUGGACGAGGAAGGAUGAGGAAGACAAGAGUUUUGUAGCAAGGAUAUAUUAUAACAAUGGCGAGCUCUUUUUGUAUUAUCUUUAAAACAGCUGAACGCAGUUUUCAUUUUCCGUUGCGUUGGCAGCCACUAUGGACAAAAGCGGUUGUGUUUUGCUGGAAUGAUGACUGCAUUUCCCACAUUUAUUGUCUUGAAAACACUUACAAGGUCUUGAUCUGGCGUGUAGUUGUUUUGGAGGUGAAUGACACAAGAUGGGACUGACCGGUACUUUGAAUUAUUAUUAUUUUUUUUUGGCAAUCUGCAGGAUGCGUAAUGAUGAGGUAAUGUAUAAAUUUGCAUGUCUAUGAAAUAUAAUAUGCCUUUGGUGCAACAGAGUAAUGUGGUAAUAUUGUGAAUUGUAUUUUUUUAGCCUACAGGUAUGUCCCGUUCAUAAUAGUAAACCUACAACAAAGAGAUUAGAUAACUCGGCUGUAGAUUAGUACAUAAAGCUUAAGUUGUCAGCGUACCUUGGUAAUGUUAAAUCUUCAAAACAAUUAACUAGCAGUGUAAAAAAGCACAGCUUACAUUACCUGUCUAGGAGGAAUAUGGAAAAUUCACGAUCUGACUUAAAUCCCGUCAAGCCCUGCAACUCUCUUCACCUCGCGAAGGAAUUACCAAUGUUGCUUUUUAUUUUUCUUCUGUUCUAGUUCGUUUUUCUUUUUGUGGACUUCGUCUCAUCAUCAACCAUGUGUAGCAAUUUGUUUUUGCUCUGUUGUCACUGGCCAGCUUACCAACAACUCACUGCUUUUCUCGUGUCCCUGUCUAAGUGCUGUAACCUCCGGCCUGCAUGCCGUAAAUCGUUCUGUCAGUGGGCGACCCGACCGAUGAAUUUUGAAAGUGGGAGUUACACUAUUCAGAAAUACCUUAUCUUCCCUCUGAUGGGCUCAUUUGCUGUUGUAGGUGACACAGAUAUAUCAGGAGACGCGAGAUACUUAUUAAAAGUUCUUAAAAGUUCCCUACAGAAACUUUAAUCUGACCCUGAGGUCAUUGAUCAUGUAUUUGUUUGAUUUCAUGUGUGUCUCUGACCUUUACUCUCAUUGUCAGUCCGCUCAGUUUCUAUUCGACCCCUCAAAGAUGCUGAGACUAAGACUAAGCCAUACUUUCCCAUUAGCAUCAGUGUUAAAUGUUGAUAGUGUCCCUGCCUGUUCUCUUUAACACGUUUCCUGCUGUUGGCUGUCUCUGCUCUGAACAAACUUUAGCUGAUUUUUUUUUGCUCUGUAAAAUUUAACGGUGUAUGAUUUGCUGUAAUUAUUUGCCUUUUAGACUUGUUUUUCUUGUCCAACAGAGUUGAAAUGAGACAACACUCUAAGAAACUCUACCCUCUCAUUGCACCUCUAUAUUUACUCAGGAAUGAUAAUUGGUUCUUCAAAAAACACAAUCUCCUCUCUUAGAAAUAUUUAGGUCACCCUUUCAAAGUAGUCCUGUUACCACAGCAGUCUUAAAGAGGCUUUUACCCCACCACUCUAUAACACGCUGCUCUGCUUUUUACUCUUUUUUUUCUGGUUCUUCAGAGCUGCCUGCUUACAGGACUGCCCCACCACAUAGUAACCUUGUCUCUCUGAUGCAAAGAAUCAUAAUAAUGUCUUAUUAGUGAAUUACUGUACCGAGGUAACUAAUCACUGCCAGGCGAGGCCAGCCAGCUAAGAACUCCCUGGCAACAGAAAGCCAAAAUAGCUCCAUGAGCUUCUCAAGCAUAAACUAUACAGCGGCGUCCACAUCAGCCGGAGUUCCCUUUAAGACUGUACUGAUUUGAAUCAACACAGACAAAGAGUUCUGAGCUAACAAUAGAUGUACUUGUUUACUUGUUCAACUCUAACAAUGUUUUAGGCUCAAACGUCUCAGUUCUAGCGAUGAAUGAAAAACUGAGAUCAGUUGAGUGUAGUUUUGAGCAGAUGAAGGCCCAGUCAGGAAAACCUCAGCAGAGUAGAUAUUAAGACUGCGCCCUCUGACAUUUUAAUGGAGUGCACAGGGAGAAAUAAUUUGGUUGAACCAUAUUGUUGUUCAUUAUUGAGGCCUUCUCUGUGAAACACACACACACAAUGACCUGCAGGUGUGUGUUCAAGCGUCCUUUGUGGAGGUGUGUGUGUCUGUGAGACAUGAUGGAUAGAUGUCAUUGGCAGGUCUCUUUCUCAUCCUCAGUCUGUGUUUACUGUGUUCGUGUGUAUGUGUGUGUGCGUGCGUGUGUGUGUGUGGCUGUGGUGAUAAAUAGGUGUGAGUGCAGAGGUCUUAGUGUAUUUGUACAGACUCCAUUAAACACCUGUUCACUGGCCUAAUGUGAAUGGCCCUGUGUCCUCAGACUGCUGCUGGCAGACAGCUUGUGCUCCACAACCACACAGAGAAAAGGAGCUGUUUGCGAAGAAAAAGUUCCCUUUAAUGCAGAAUCAGAGACUUGCUGUAGUUUCGGUUUGGUCUUCAGCACAUUAAUGUGAAAUUACAUGAUAAAUGGAUUUUUAUUAUUUAAUUAAACAGACUGGAAUCAUUAACUGUUAUUAGAGUGCAUUCAUAUUAUAUGUCAGCUGCCCAGCUGCUUCUUCUCUUAGCUCAAACUAGGCCUGUACAGUACAUCAGUUAUCAGUCUAUUAUUUAUUAUUAUGACGAUGCCAUGUCAUUCAGUUAAAAAAAAACUGAGAAUAACUUUGCUCUUUUACAUAAUAACAAGCCUUAACACUCCAACGAUAAGAAGGAGGUGGUGCACUGCACAGAUAACCACAGACAAGGAGAACCACACCACAGCACAGUGAUUGUGUCUUUGUUUCAGAGAAGGCAAGAAGGAGAAAGCCUGCAAAGUUUAGCACAACCAAAGUAAAGUCAUCAGCGAGUAAUAUUGGUCCAUCUUAUGGUCUCGCUAGUAGGACAGCUCUGUACCUUUAAAAAAAUAAAAAUAAUUGCUUUUUUUUUACUUUUGUUUUGUUGAGAUUUUGUUUCAUUCCUGGUUUCUUUCUACAAAUGUAUGCUUCUUAACUUCCAAGUCGAAGCCCAGAGUGUGAGCUGUGGAGCAUGUGCAGAUUUUAUUCGCCAGUUUUAGUCCAACUGAGGUGUAUUCGUCUGUCAUCACCUCCGGUAUCAGGGUACAUUAACUAGCAUCUUUAUAUGUCUUUGACAGCCAGGCUAAUGCAAUACAUGACUUUUGUAGUGUUGUGUAAACAUGUUGAAUGUUUAAAUCAGUAGAGGUGAGACGCUGUGAACAUGGCUUGACCCAAGUGUGGGAAGAACUUCCUGCUUUACAAAAGUAAAAAAGAAAAAAAAAAAAGGCGUAGAAUGCAAGCUUUGCAACAGCGAUUCAAACAGCCUGAAAGCA